RNAcentral lists this RNase P RNA (334 nucleotides) under Tissierellia bacterium. Its description in RNAcentral is "RNase P RNA component class A". It matches the Rfam family "Bacterial RNase P class A". From Rfam's summary of the family: Ribonuclease P (RNase P) is a ubiquitous endoribonuclease, found in archaea, bacteria and eukarya as well as chloroplasts and mitochondria. Its best characterised activity is the generation of mature 5'-ends of tRNAs by cleaving the 5'-leader elements of precursor-tRNAs. Cellular RNase Ps are ribonucleoproteins. Lineage: Bacteria; Bacillati; Bacillota; Tissierellia. The record is from RNAcentral.
GGAGUAAGUCAGAUAAUCGCGUUAUUACGAGGAAAGUCCGUGCACUAUAGAGCAGGAUGCUGGAUAACGUCCAGUGGGGGUGACCCUAAGGCUAGUGCAACAGAGAUAUACCGCCAUAUUUAUAUGGUAAGGCUGGAAAGGUGAGGUAAGAGCUCACCAGCAUAUAGGUGACUAUAUGGCUAUGUAAACCCCAUCCAGUGCAAGAUCAAAUAGGAUUAUAAAAAACGGCUGCUCGUCGUUUCCAGAAUGGUAGAUUGCUUGAAUUUAUAGGUAACUAUAAAUCUAGAUAGAUGAUUAUCUGAUACAGAACACGGCUUAUAGACUUGCUCCAUAC